This 353-nucleotide long non-coding RNA is filed under the name Astyanax mexicanus (Mexican tetra). RNAcentral's name for it is "lncRNA (ENSAMXG00005005164.1)". The record is from RNAcentral. Lineage: Eukaryota; Metazoa; Chordata; Actinopteri; Characiformes; Acestrorhamphidae.
CUUUUAUGCAAAUAAGAUGUUGGCCAGGACACCCCCACCCAUCCUAUGUUUACGCUGAGCGAUUAUCACAUGUGAAAAUAACAGAAAACAGAGGCGCUGUCCAACCCUAUAAGGGGGGAAUAAGUAAAAAUUUAGCAGAAGAAGAAGAUGGCAGAAGUAGUACUCAUGCUAUUGGUGCGCACCCUUUAAAAAUCAGCAGUCAGUUACUCAGAUGGGGUGGAAGAGAAAAGCCUCCAGUGUUAAAGAUCUCGGUGUCUGCGCUCCUGUGGACGGCAGCAGCAGAGCGCGAUCAGUUUUCAGUGGCCAGCGCUGUGGGGCCGCCGGGACAAGGCCUGCACUCUAAUGGGAGCUGA